Molecule: transfer RNA, 69 nt
Filed under: Inara alboguttata
Lineage: Eukaryota; Metazoa; Arthropoda; Insecta; Hemiptera; Reduviidae
Description: tRNA-Gln
Source: RNAcentral
UAUAAUUUGGUGUAUGAUGCACACAGAAUUUUGAUUUCUUUGGAUCUAGUUUAAAUCUAGAAUUUAUAA